AUAGCGUAUAUUAAAGUUGUUGCAGUUAAAAAGCUCGUAGUUGAAUUUUGGACCUGGCUGGGUGGUCUUGCCGCAAGGUUAUCACUGCUCUGGUCGGGUCUUUCUUUCUGGGGAACCUGUGUGCUCUUAAUUGAGUGCGCAGGGGGUCCAGGACUUUUACUUUGAAAAAAUUAGAGUGUUUAAAGCAGGCUUUCGCUUGAAUACAUUAGCAUGGAAUAAUAGAAUAAGACUUUGGUUCUAUUUUGUUGGUUUCUAGGACUGAAGUAAUGAUUAAUAGGGACAGUUGGGGGCAUUAGUAUUUAAUUGUCAGAGGUGAAAUUCUUGGAUUUAUGAAAGACUAACUACUG
RNAcentral lists this ribosomal RNA (347 nucleotides) under uncultured eukaryote. RNAcentral describes it as "SSU rRNA". It matches the Rfam family "Eukaryotic small subunit ribosomal RNA", at positions 594 to 945 of the family's 1831-position model. The record is from RNAcentral.